This 765-nucleotide ribosomal RNA is filed under the name uncultured bacterium. Its description in RNAcentral is "bacterial SSU rRNA". It matches the Rfam family "Bacterial small subunit ribosomal RNA", at positions 41 to 803 of the family's 1533-position model. The record is from RNAcentral.
GGCGUGCCUAACACAUGCAAGUCGAACGGAACUGUUUUGAAAUAUUUCUUCGGAAUGAAUUUUAUUUAGUUUAGUGGCGGACGGGUGAAUAACGCGUGAGUAACCUGCCUUCGAGAGGGGGAUAACAUUCUGAAAAGAAUGCUAAUACCGCAUGACAUAUCGGAACCACAUGAUUUUGAUAUCAAAGAUUUUAUCGCUUGAAGAUGGACUCGCGUCCGAUUAUUUAGUUGGUGAGGUAACGGCUCACCAAGACCGCGAUCGGUAGCCGGACUGAGAGGUUGAACGGCCACAUUGGGACUGAGACACGGCCCAGACUCCUACGGGAGGCAGCAGUGGGGGAUAUUGCGCAAUGGGGGCAACCCUGACGCAGCAACGCCGCGUGAAGGAUGAAGGUUUUCGGAUUGUAAACUUCUUUUAUUAAGGACAAAACUUGACGGUACUUAAUGAAUAAGCUCCGGCUAACUACGUGCCAGCAGCCGCGGUAAUACGUAGGGAGCAAGCGUUGUCCGGAUUUACUGGGUGUAAAGGGUGCGUAGGCGGCUUUGCAAGUCAGAUGUGAAAUCUAUGGGCUCAACCCAUAAACUGCAUUUGAAACUGUAGAGCUUGAGUGAAGUAGAGGCAGGCGGAAUUCCCCGUGUAGCGGUGAAAUGCGUAGAGAUGGGGAGGAACACCAGUGGCGAAGGCGGCCUGCUGGGCUUUAACUGACGCUGAGGCUCGAAAGCGUGGGUAGCAAACAGGAUUAGAUACCCUGGUAGUCCACGCUGU